This 409-nucleotide RNase P RNA is filed under the name Endozoicomonas sp. GU-1. RNAcentral's name for it is "RNase P RNA component class A". It matches the Rfam family "Bacterial RNase P class A". Rfam says of the family: Ribonuclease P (RNase P) is a ubiquitous endoribonuclease, found in archaea, bacteria and eukarya as well as chloroplasts and mitochondria. Its best characterised activity is the generation of mature 5'-ends of tRNAs by cleaving the 5'-leader elements of precursor-tRNAs. Lineage: Bacteria; Pseudomonadati; Pseudomonadota; Gammaproteobacteria; Oceanospirillales; Endozoicomonadaceae. The record is from RNAcentral.
CGAGCUGGCCGGGCAGUCGCUGUUUAUUCUGGUUGUUUGAUCAGAGUGAAGGGAGGAAAGUCCGGGCUCCAGAGGGUAGGGUGCCAGGUAAUGCCUGGGGGGCGAAAGCCUACGGAAAGUGCAGCAGAGAGUAGACCGCCUAAGCCAGUGUUCCUUUCAACGCUUGUUGUAAAGAAGUUGGCCGGUAAGGGUGAAAGGGUGCGGUAAGAGCGCACCGCAUGGCUGGUAACAGUCCAUGGCACGGUAAACCCCGCCUGGAGCAAGACCAAAUAGGAAUCCUAUAGGUGUGACCCGCACUGGAUUCGGGUAGGUUGCUUGAGGUGUCUGGUGACAGGCAUCCCAGAUGAAUGACUGCCCAGGCCUGCUUUGGCAGGCUGGACAGAACCCGGCUUACAGGCCGGCUCGCGAC